Molecule: small nuclear RNA, 121 nt
Organism: Lineus longissimus
Lineage: Eukaryota; Metazoa; Nemertea; Pilidiophora; Heteronemertea; Lineidae
Product: U5 spliceosomal RNA
Exons: 1
Source: RefSeq, a predicted model, not a curated record
UGGCUCUGGUUUCUCUUCAAUCCCACGCAUAAAUCUUUCGCCUUCUACUAAAGAUUUCCGUGGAGAGGAACACUCUAAUGAGUCUAUAGACAUUUUGUUCUUCUGACAAGUUCGUAUUAAU